Small nucleolar RNA from Cricetulus griseus (Chinese hamster), 106 nucleotides. Ensembl annotates it as small nucleolar RNA SNORA68. The record is from Ensembl. NCBI's taxonomy places the organism in Eukaryota, Metazoa, Chordata, Mammalia, Rodentia, Cricetidae.
CGUUCAUUAAAAACAAUAUGUUGUUGGUGCACACAGCAAAAGGGGCUUUGUCGCCUUUGGGGGCCUGUGCAGUGACCCCCAGAGUAAAUCAGGAGGUUCCACAGCC